AAUAAAUCAAGGAUUCAAGAAGAAUUGAAGCGCGAACGAUUGAACGACGAAGAUGCAAAGGUCUUUUUCGGG
This 72-nucleotide small RNA is filed under the name Arabidopsis thaliana (thale cress). Its description in RNAcentral is "ATSL091730". Lineage: Eukaryota; Viridiplantae; Streptophyta; Magnoliopsida; Brassicales; Brassicaceae. The record is from RNAcentral.